This 274-nucleotide ribosomal RNA is filed under the name uncultured bacterium. Its description in RNAcentral is "partial 16S ribosomal RNA". It matches the Rfam family "Bacterial small subunit ribosomal RNA", at positions 523 to 796 of the family's 1533-position model. The record is from RNAcentral.
AUACGGAGGGUGCAAGCGUUACUCGGAAUCACUGGGCGUAAAGCGCGCGCAGGCGGUCUUUUAAGUUGGAUGUGAAAGCCUACGGCUCAACCGUAGAACUGCAUCCAAAACUAUUAGACUAGAGUGUGGGAGAGGAAGAUGGAAUUAGUUGUGUAGGGGUAAAAUCCGUAGAGAUAACUAGGAAUACCAAAAGCGAAGGCAAUCUUCUGGAACACUACUGACGCUGAGGCGCGAAAGCGUGGGGAGCAAACGGGAUUAGAUACCCUUGUAGUCC